This 275-nucleotide ribosomal RNA is filed under the name uncultured prokaryote. RNAcentral's name for it is "partial 16S ribosomal RNA". It matches the Rfam family "Bacterial small subunit ribosomal RNA", at positions 524 to 798 of the family's 1533-position model. The record is from RNAcentral.
UACGGAGGAUCCGAGCGUUAUCCGGAUUUAUUGGGUUUAAAGGGUGCGCAGGCGGGAGAUUAAGUCGGCGGUGAAAUUUUGCAGCUCAACUGUAAAAGUGCCUUCGUAACUGGUUUCCUUGAGUGUAGAUGAAGUAGGCGGAAUUUGUGGUGUAGCGGUGAAAUGCAUAGAUAUCACGAGGAACUCCGAUUGCGCAGGCAGCUUACUAAACUACUACUGACGCUCAGGCACGAAGGCGUGGGGAUCAAACAGGAUUAGAUACCCGGGUAGUCCCU